AGAGAGAGACAUGCGCGCAUAUCAAUAAGCGGAGGAAAAGAAACUAACUAGGAUUCCCCUAGUAACGGCGAGUGAAGCGGGAAGAGCUCAAAUUUGAAAUCUUAAAGGGUUUCCCUUUACGAAUUGUAGUUUAAAGAAGUGUUUUCUGUUGAGGUUUUGGUAAAAGUUCUUUGGAAUAGGACAUCAUAGAGGGUGAGAAUCCCGUAUUUGACCUUUACUUUCAACUUUGUGAUACACUUUCAAAGAGUCGGAUUGUUUGGGAAUGCAGUCCAAGAUGGGUGGUAAAUUUCAUCUAAAGCUAAAUAUUGGCGAGAGACCGAUAGCGAACAAGUACCGUGAGGGAAAGAUGAAAAGAACUUUGAAAAGAGAGUUAAACAGUACGUGAAAUUGUCAAAAGGGAAGCGUUUGACACCAGUGUUGUUUUUCUGAAAAUCAAUUAAAGAACUGUUUAUGCUAAGUUGUUUAGACUUUAUCAGCUAACUGUUUAGUUUUGAGCUUUUCUUUAAUGCACUUCUCAGUUAACAAGUCAACAUCAAUUUCUUUUGCUGUAAAAAAGCUUGAGGAAGGUGGCUUGAGAUUCGUCUUAAGUGUUUAUAGCCUCUUGCCUAUGCAGUCGGAGAGAUUGAGGUCUGCAGCGUAGAUCCUUCGGGGCUAAAUGCAUUUGUGCUAAGUUAUAGCAUUUUAUAGACAACUUGUUGACUAUGAUUUGUCUUGUAGCUUACUCGCUUAUGUUAUUUUACCUACGCUUAGGAUGUUGAGCGCAUGUCUCUCUCU
This 774-nucleotide ribosomal RNA is filed under the name uncultured Neocallimastigales. RNAcentral's name for it is "partial large subunit ribosomal RNA". It matches the Rfam family "Eukaryotic large subunit ribosomal RNA", at positions 23 to 616 of the family's 3401-position model. Lineage: Eukaryota; Fungi; Neocallimastigomycota; Neocallimastigomycetes; Neocallimastigales. The record is from RNAcentral.